AAUAAGUGCAGUUUUAGCACUGUUCAUGUCCAACGUUUGACCGUUCGUCUUAUUUGAAAAAAAGAUUAUGAUUAGUAUUUUUAUUGUUAUUAGAUGAUAAAAUAUGAAUAGUACUUUAUGUGUGACUAAUUUUUUUUAAAUAUUUUUUAUAAAUUUUUCAAAUAAGACAGAUGGUCAAAAAGCUGAGCACGUAUAUCUAUGGCUGCACUUAUU
Oryza rufipogon (brownbeard rice) is the source of this 213-nucleotide microRNA precursor. It matches the Rfam family "MIR812 microRNA precursor family". The record is from Rfam. NCBI's taxonomy places the organism in Eukaryota, Viridiplantae, Streptophyta, Magnoliopsida, Poales, Poaceae.